Molecule: transfer RNA, 74 nt
Filed under: Ixodes scapularis (black-legged tick)
Lineage: Eukaryota; Metazoa; Arthropoda; Arachnida; Ixodida; Ixodidae
Description: tRNA-Ile for anticodon AAU
Rfam family: tRNA
About the family: Transfer RNA (tRNA) molecules are approximately 80 nucleotides in length. Their secondary structure includes four short double-helical elements and three loops (D, anti-codon, and T loops).
Source: RNAcentral
GGCCUGCUAGCUCAGUCGGUCAGAGCGUCGUGCUAAUAACGCGAAGGUCACAGGUUCGAUCCCUAUGCAGGCCA